GUGCUCACUUCAGCAGCAAAUAUACUAAAACUGGAAUGAUACAGAGAAGGUAUUAGCAUGGCCCCUGAACAAGGAUGACACACAAAUGCAUGUUCUACGUUUUU
Molecule: small nuclear RNA, 104 nt
Filed under: Erinaceus europaeus (western European hedgehog)
Lineage: Eukaryota; Metazoa; Chordata; Mammalia; Eulipotyphla; Erinaceidae
Source: RNAcentral